CGCCGGGGCCCGCUCGCGAUCGGGCCGGGGGCGCCGCGGGCUCGGACGCCCCUUCAUUUUGUCUCGGGUGCCGCCGCGGCCGCCGGGCCGGGGACGCGGGAGAGGCUGGGGGAGGGGAGCGGCGCGGGUGUUGGGUUACAGGCGGUGAGUCACGGCGCCCCCGCCCCCGCCGCGGAGCGCACCCCCUCCCGCCCCGCCGGGCCGGCACCCCCGCCUCGCGGGCCCCCACCCCGGCUGCGGGAGGGCUGCUUGCCCAGGGCAGCUGCGCGCCCCCGAAAGCCCAAAGAGGGGCGCGUUGACCCCGGCCCCGCGCCCUCCCCGAAGAAAGGCGGAGUCGGGGAGGAAGGGAGGCUCGGAGGCUGAAUCUGGGGCCAGCCGCCGCCGCACUGCCGCCCUCCGCCACCGUCCAGAGAGGAGGGCGACGCCUGAGAGAGGAGGAGAGCUGGGCGCUAGAGGCGCCAGGAUGGGUGCCCACCCUGCCCGCCAAGGCUGCCUUUGGAGGGCUCCUGCUAGAAUUCAGGCAAAUACAAGCAGCUGGAAGCAGAGGACUCCAAGGCCCCAGAAGAUGGUGGAGUCACCAAAUAAAAGAAGCCUGUGUCCUUGCAUCACUUUGAGGAAUAAAGCCACCACCUGACCAAGACAUUGGACUACUACGGAAAGCACUGGCAGGACUCCAGCGGGAGCAAACAAUACCGUACCACCCUGGAAAGAGUGGCUGCCAGAAAGUCAAGAGAGUACACGUCACAUGCAGGGAUGCGCUGGGGUCAUGUGGGAAGAACUCUGGCUACAAUGGAAGAGACGUUGGGUUUCCUUGAGGUUAAAUGGGGCAUUCUGGGCAGGUUGGGGCGCUAUAAAGAAUGCUCUACAUUUUGCUCCCUGCCUGGGCGAAUGCACUCAGUCACGUGAGCUAAGUGCUUACAACGGACUCAUCAUGAUUCUAGGUACUGGGGUACAGAAGUGAACAAAAGCGAAGUCCCUGCCUUCGUUCGGUUUACGGAUAGAUGAAUAAAGUAUUAUGUGUCCGGUGACGGUAAGGGCUAGCAAGACGAAUAAAGCAGGGUAAGGAGGCAGAGAAUCAUGAGGGCAGGAGGGAAAAGACUCUCUGAUAAGGUGCCAUUUGAGCAGAGGUUCCAAGGUAGUGAGAGAAUAUACCAUCUGGGUCUCUGGGGAAACUAUGGAUAUCUGGAGGAAGACCCUCCCAGGCAUAGGGUCUAGUAGGUGCAAAGACCCUGAGGCAGGAAUAUCCUUGGCAUGUUGACAGAACAGUGAGGAGGUCACUGUGAGUAGAGUGGAAAAGGAGGAAAGGAGCAGGAGUUGAGGCUGGGGAGUUAACAGAGGACCCAAUCCUGUAGGACUUUGUGGAGUGAUGGGAGAACUUUGGGUUUUAUUCCGAGUCAGGAAGGAAGCCAUUGGCCAGUUCUGAUGAGAGCAGUGACAUAAUCAGAUUUGGGUUCCAAAAGUCUCUUUGUAACCACUGUACUGAAAAUAGGAUCGAGGAAGGAGGGCAGUGAUCUGGGGAGGGACGGAGGAGGAGGUUCUGACAAAGGCUAAGGAGAGGCACCUAUAAGAACUACAAAGCAAGGACUAUAGCUCGUUGAUCAAUCUCCUCUCUGCCAUCCUUCCCCCACGUGGUCACCAUACGUGGUACCUAAAACACAGGUCUGUCUGCCCUGUAUCUCCCUCCUCUACUGAUCUCCUGUGGCCUUCAGGACAAAGUCCAAACUCCUAGCCUAACAUAGUGGGCAGCUUGACAGGGUAUGAGAGCAUCCGCAUUAGCAUCAGAAAGAGCCGGAUCAGAAUCCUGGCCCUGCCUAUCACCAGCUGUGUGACUUUGCCCAAGUCACUCGACCUCUCUGACCUUGGUUUCUUCUCUUUCCUCCUUGUCCUGUAUAUUACGACCUGCACGUCUCUGAAAGCAGGGACGUUGUCUUGUUCCCUCCGUAUAUUCAGCAUCCAGAACAAUGCCUAGCACACAGUAGGUAUUCAACAAGUUUGUGUGGAGUCAACGAAUGAGCUAAUAUAGGAGAUAGCAUCUGGCAUGGUGGCUGGCACACGGGGGCCCAGCCAUGCGUCUUUCUCUUCCUGAGUAAUGCCGGCUUCUCUUUCCCUGCCUAGUCUGACCGGCAUGGUGCUUUCCUGAUUCUUAUCCACAUCACCUCCUCCCACCAAGCACCCAUCAUUCCUGGGGUACUUCUCCCUGUUUCAUGUCUCUCCACCUUUAUACAUGCUGCACCCAAUGCCUGGGACAUCCCCUUUCCUGUCCUCCAGAUGACAAACACCUACUUGCCUCAGAUACCUAGCUUAAGACAUCACUCUGCCUCUGAUCCUGUGCUGGUGAGAACUGAAGGCUCUGUCCCCAGAGCACUCAGUUCCUGGGUCUAUUAUAGUGCUUACCUCAUGGUAUUACAGUUAUUCAAUUACGUGCCCAGCUCUGCCCAGUUGCCUGAGAGCUCCAGGGUAGUCAGGUCUAGAACAGUGCUGUCCAAUAGAAAUAUUAUGUGAGCCACGUAUAGCAUUUAAACUUCUCUAGUAGCCGCAUUAAAAACGAGUUAAAAAAAGAGAAAUUAAUUUAAUCAUAUAUUUUAUUUAACCAAGUAUGUUCAGAAUAUUUCAAUAUGUGAUCAUGAUGUAAUCAAUGUAAAAACUUAUUGAUGAGAUAUUUUACAUUCUUCUUUUUGUACUAAAUCUUCAAAAAUCCCUUGCAUAAUUUACACUUAGAAUAAAUCUUAAUUCAGAGCUAAAUUUGCAAUGGUUAAACUGAAAUAUAACCCUAGCAAAACAAUAAAGUUGUAUUUAACAGAAAAAUAUGUUCCACUGCU
Molecule: long non-coding RNA, 2819 nt
Organism: Hippopotamus amphibius kiboko
Lineage: Eukaryota; Metazoa; Chordata; Mammalia; Artiodactyla; Hippopotamidae
Exons: 4
Source: RefSeq, a predicted model, not a curated record